UACAGAGGUCUCAAGCGUUGUUCGGAUUCAUUGGGCGUAAAGGGUGCGUAGGCGGCGCGGUAAGUCGGGUGUGAAAUCUUGGAGCUUAACUCCGAAACUGCAUUCGAUACUGCCGUGCUUGAGGACUGGAGAGGAGACUGGAAUUUACGGUGUAGCGGUGAAAUGCGUAGAUAUCGUAAGGAAGACCAGUGGCGAAGGCGGGUCUCUGGACAGUACCUGACGCUGAAGCACGAAGGCCUGGGGAGCGAACGGG
RNAcentral lists this ribosomal RNA (253 nucleotides) under uncultured bacterium. RNAcentral describes it as "partial 16S ribosomal RNA". It matches the Rfam family "Bacterial small subunit ribosomal RNA", at positions 524 to 776 of the family's 1533-position model. The record is from RNAcentral.